This 37-nucleotide transfer RNA is filed under the name Boana albopunctata (spotted treefrog). RNAcentral's name for it is "partial tRNA-Tyr". The record is from RNAcentral. Lineage: Eukaryota; Metazoa; Chordata; Amphibia; Anura; Hylidae.
UGAUAAGAAGAGGACUUAAACCUCUGUUGAUGGAGCU